CCUACGGGGCGCAGCAGUGGGGAAUAUUGCACAAUGGGCGAAAGCCUGAUGCAGCAACGCCGCGUGAGCGAUGAAGGCCUUCGGGUCGUAAAGCUCUGUCCUCAAGGAAGAUAAUGACGGUACUUGAGGAGGAAGCCCCGGCUAACUACGUGCCAGCAGCCGCGGUAAUACGUAGGGGGCUAGCGUUAUCCGGAAUUACUGGGCGUAAAGGGUGCGUAGGUGGUUUCUUAAGUCAGAGGUGAAAGGCUACGGCUCAACCGUAGUAAGCCUUUGAAACUGGGGAACUUGAGUGCAGGAGAGGAGAGUGGAAUUCCUAGUGUAGCGGUGAAAUGCGUAGAUAUAUGGAAGAACACCAGUGGCGAAAGCGGCUCUCUGGUCUGUAACUGACGCUGAGGUUCGAAAGCGUGGGUAGCAAACAGGAUUAGAUACCCUUGUAGUC
This 439-nucleotide ribosomal RNA is filed under the name uncultured bacterium. RNAcentral's name for it is "partial 16S ribosomal RNA". It matches the Rfam family "Bacterial small subunit ribosomal RNA", at positions 338 to 795 of the family's 1533-position model. The record is from RNAcentral.